RNAcentral lists this ribosomal RNA (490 nucleotides) under uncultured bacterium. RNAcentral's name for it is "partial 16S ribosomal RNA". It matches the Rfam family "Bacterial small subunit ribosomal RNA", at positions 30 to 507 of the family's 1533-position model. The record is from RNAcentral.
AUUGAACGCUGGCGGCAGGCCUAACACAUGCAAGUCGAACGGUAACAGGAAGCAGCUUGCUGCUUUGCUGACGAGUGGCGGACGGGUGAGUAAUGUCUGGGAAACUGCCUGAUGGAGGGGGAUAACUACUGGAAACGGUAGCUAAUACCGCAUAACGUCGCAAGACCAAAGAGGGGGGCCUUCGGGCCUCUUGCCAUCGGAUGUGCCCAGAUGGGAUUAGCUAGUAGGUGGGGUAACGGCUCACCUAGGCGACGAUCCCUAGCUGGUCUGAGAGGAUGACCAGCCACACUGGAACUGAGACACGGUCCAGACUCCUACGGGAGGCAGCAGUGGGGAAUAUUGCACAAUGGGCGCAAGCCUGAUGCAGCCAUGCCGCGUGUAUGAAGAAGGCCUUCGGGUUGUAAAGUACUUUCAGCGGGGAGGAAGGGAGUAAAGUUAAUACCUUUGCUCAUUGACGUUACCCGCAGAAGAAGCACCGGCUAACUCCGUG